RNAcentral lists this unclassified non-coding RNA (345 nucleotides) under soil metagenome. RNAcentral's name for it is "partial contains 5.8S ribosomal RNA, internal transcribed spacer 2, and large subunit ribosomal RNA". The stretch from base 1 to 120 matches the Rfam family "5.8S ribosomal RNA", at positions 35 to 154 of the family's 154-position model. The record is from RNAcentral.
GAUGAAGAACGUAGCGAAACGCGAUAAGUAAUGUGAAUUGCAGAAUCCAGUGAAUCAUCGAGUCUUUGAACGCACAUUGCGCCCCCUGGUAUUCCGGGGGGCAUGCCUGUCCGAGCGUCAUUGCUGCCCUCAAGCACGGCUUGUGUGUUGGGCCUCCGUCCUCCUCCCGGGGGACGGGCCCGAAAGGCAGCGGCGGCACCGCGUCCGGUCCUCGAGCGUAUGGGGCUUCGUCACCCGCUCUUGUAGGCCCGGCCGGCGCUUGCCGACACAUCAAUCUUUUUUCCAGGUUGACCUCGGAUCAGGUAGGGAUACCCGCUGAACUUAAGCAUAUCAAUAAGCGGAGGA